This 253-nucleotide ribosomal RNA is filed under the name uncultured bacterium. Its description in RNAcentral is "partial 16S ribosomal RNA". It matches the Rfam family "Bacterial small subunit ribosomal RNA", at positions 524 to 776 of the family's 1533-position model. The record is from RNAcentral.
UACGAGGGGGGCGAGCGUUGUUCGGAAUUACUGGGCGUAAAGGGCGCGCAGGCGGCUCAUCAAGUCAGAUGUGAAAUCCCGAGGCUCAACCUCGGAACUGCGUCUGAAACUACUCGACUAGAGUACUGGAGAGGGUAACGGAAUUCACGGUGUAGCAGUGAAAUGCGUAGAUAUCGUGAGGAACACCAGAGGCGAAGGCGGUUACCUGGACAGUUACUGACGCUCAGGCACGAAAGCAUGGGGAGCAAAAGGG